This 497-nucleotide ribosomal RNA is filed under the name uncultured bacterium. RNAcentral describes it as "partial 16S ribosomal RNA". It matches the Rfam family "Bacterial small subunit ribosomal RNA", at positions 28 to 507 of the family's 1533-position model. The record is from RNAcentral.
GACGAACGCUGGCGGCGUGCCUAAUACAUGCAAGUUGAGCGCUGAAGGUUGGUACUUGUACCAACUGGAUGAGCAGCGAACGGGUGAGUAACGCGUGGGGAAUCUGCCUUUGAGCGGGGGACAACAUUUGGAAACGAAUGCUAAUACCGCAUAAAAACUUUAAACACAAGUUUUAAGUUUGAAAGAUGCAAUUGCAUCACUCAAAGAUGAUCCCGCGUUGUAUUAGCUAGUUGGUGAGGUAAAGGCUCACCAAGGCGAUGAUACAUAGCCGACCUGGGAGGGUGAUCGGCCACAUUGGGACUGAGACACGGCCCAAACGCCUACGGGAGGCAGCAGUAGGGAAUCUUCGGCAAUGGACGAAAGUCUGACCGAGCAACGCCGCGUGAGUGAAGAAGGUUUUCGGAUCGUAAAACUCUGUUGGUAGAGAAGAACGUUGGUGAGAGUGGAAAGCUCAUCAAGUGACGGUAACUACCCAGAAAGGGACGGCUAACUACGUG